CACCGGCGGCCCGAGUGGUAACCGCUUUUAUUGGGUCUAAAGGGUCUGUAGCCGGCCAAGUAAGUCCCUUGGGAAAUCUGGCAGCUUAACUGUCAGGCUGCUAGGGGAUACUGCUGGGCUUGGGACCGGGAGAGGUGAGAGGUACCUUGGGGGUAGGGGUGAAAUCUUGUGAUCCUCGGGGGACCACCAGUGGCGAAGGCGUCUCACCAGAACGGGUCCGACGGUAAGGGACGAAAGCGAGGGGC
This 245-nucleotide ribosomal RNA is filed under the name uncultured Methanosaeta sp. RNAcentral describes it as "partial 16S ribosomal RNA". It matches the Rfam family "Archaeal small subunit ribosomal RNA", at positions 474 to 718 of the family's 1478-position model. The record is from RNAcentral. Lineage: Archaea; Methanobacteriati; Methanobacteriota; Methanomicrobia; Methanotrichales; Methanotrichaceae.